CAGGCCUAAUACAUGCAAGUCGAGGGGUAGAGGUUGCUUGCAACCUUGAGACCGGCGCACGGGUGCGUAACGCGUAUGCAACCUACCUUCAUCUGGGGGAUAGCCCGGAGAAAUCCGGAUUAACACCGCAUAAAAUCACAGUACUGCAUAGUACAAUGAUCAAAUAUUUAUAGGAUGGGGAUGGGCAUGCGUGUCAUUAGCUAGUUGGCGGGGUAACGGCCCACCAAGGCGACGAUGACUAGGGGAUCUGAGAGGAUGGCCCCCCACACUGGUACUGAGACACGGACCAGACUCCUACGGGAGGCAGCAGUAAGGAAUAUUGGUCAAUGGAGGCAACUCUGAACCAGCCAUGCCGCGUGCAGGAAGACUGCCCUAUGGGUUGUAAACUGCUUUUAUUCGGGAAUAAACCUAGAUACGUGUAUUUAGCUGAAUGUACCGAAGGAAUAAGGAUCGGCUAACUCCGUGCCAGCAGCCGCGGUAAUACGGAGGAUCCAAGCGUUAUCCGGAUUUAUUGGGUUUAAAGGGUGCGUAGGCGGCCUGUUAAGUCAGGGGUGAAAGACGGUAGCUCAACUAUCGCAGUGCCCUUGAUACUGAUGGGCUUGAAUGGACUAGAGGUAGGCGGAAUGAGACAAGUAGCGGUGAAAUGCAUAGAUAUGUCUCAGAACACCGAUUGCGAAGGCAGCUUACUAUGGUCUUAUUGACGCUGAGGCACGAAAGCGUGGGGAUCAAACAGGAUUAGAUACCCUGGUAGUCCACGCCCUAAACGAUGAACACUCGCUGUU
Molecule: ribosomal RNA, 782 nt
Filed under: Pedobacter sp.
Lineage: Bacteria; Pseudomonadati; Bacteroidota; Sphingobacteriia; Sphingobacteriales; Sphingobacteriaceae
Description: bacterial SSU rRNA
Rfam family: Bacterial small subunit ribosomal RNA
Source: RNAcentral